Molecule: long non-coding RNA, 100 nt
Organism: Haliotis rubra (blacklip abalone)
Lineage: Eukaryota; Metazoa; Mollusca; Gastropoda; Lepetellida; Haliotidae
Exons: 3
Source: RefSeq, a predicted model, not a curated record
ACAGGUUUCUGUGGAGAAGUGUGUUUUUUUGUAAUUUGUAUUAUCAUUGGUUAAGUGAUAGUUGUUAUUUGGUCACAAUGUUUAGUGUUUUGAGUGUGGG